This 253-nucleotide ribosomal RNA is filed under the name uncultured bacterium. RNAcentral describes it as "partial 16S ribosomal RNA". It matches the Rfam family "Bacterial small subunit ribosomal RNA", at positions 524 to 776 of the family's 1533-position model. The record is from RNAcentral.
UACGAAGGGGGCUAGCGUUGCUCGGAAUCACUGGGCGUAAAGCGCACGUAGGCGGAUCUUUAAGUCAGGGGUGAAAUCCUGGAGCUCAACUCCAGAACUGCCUUUGAUACUGGGGAUCUCGAGUCCGGAAGAGGUGAGUGGAACUCCGAGUGUAGAGGUGAAAUUCGUAGAUAUUCGGAAGGACACCAGUGGCGAAGGCGGCUCACUGGUCCGGUACUGACGCUGAGGUGCGAAAGCGUGGGGAGCAAACAGG